Molecule: ribosomal RNA, 771 nt
Filed under: uncultured Neocallimastigales
Lineage: Eukaryota; Fungi; Neocallimastigomycota; Neocallimastigomycetes; Neocallimastigales
Description: partial large subunit ribosomal RNA
Rfam family: Eukaryotic large subunit ribosomal RNA
Source: RNAcentral
GUAGUCUCGCACAGAUGCAUAUCAAUAAGCGGAGGAAAAGAAACUAACAAGGAUUCCCUCAGUAACGGCGAGUGAAGCGGGAAGAGCUCAAAUUUGAAAUCUUGAAAGGUCACCUUUCACGAAUUGUAGUUUAAAGAAGUGUUUUCUGUUACGAUCGUAAUAUAAGUUCUUUGGAAUAGGACAUCACAGAGGGUGAGAAUCCCGUCUAUGAUUGCGAUUUGUAGCUUUGUGAUACACUUUCAAAGAGUCGGGUUGUUUGGGAAUGCAGCCCAAAACGGGAGGUAAAUUUCUUCUAAGGCUAAAUAUUGGCGAGAGACCGAUAGCGAACAAGUACCGUGAGGGAAAGAUGAAAAGAACUUUGAAAAGAGAGUUAAAUAGUACGUGAAAUUGUCAAAAGGGAAGCGUUUAACACCAGUGUUGUUUUCUGAAAAUCAACCUCUGUUAGCUUUAUGCAUGUUUGUUUAGACCUAAUCAGCUAUCUUGCAUGUUCUAUUGUUUGCAGUGGUGCACUUUUCAGUUUACAGGUCAACAUCAGUUUUUUUUACCGUAAAAAAGUUAAAGAAAGGUAGCUCAUGGCUCCGGUCGUGAGUGUUAUAGUCUUUUUCCUAUGCGGUAGGAGAGACUGAGGUCUGCAGUGUAGGCUAUUUGGCUAGAUACUCAGGUGCUAUGUGAUACCAUUCCAUAAACAACUUGUUGAUUAUGUUUUGUCUAUUGCAUACUCGCUUGUACUAUCAUACCUACGCUUAGGAUGUUGAGUCGUAGAGCACGCAG